CCUACGGGUGGCAGCAGUCGAGAAUCAUUCACAAUGGGGGAAACCCUGAUGGUGCGACGCCGCGUGGGGGAAUGAAGGUCUUCGGAUUGUAAACCCCUGUCAUGUGGGAGCAAAUUAAAAAGAUAGUACCACAAGAGGAAGAGACGGCUAACUCUGUGCCAGCAGCCGCGGUAAUACAGAGGUCUCAAGCGUUGUUCGGAAUCACUGGGCGUAAAGCGUGCGUAGGCUGUUUCAUAAGUCGUGUGUGAAAGGCGCGGGCUCAACCCGCGGACGGCACAUGAUACUGCGAGACUAGAGUAAGGGAGGGGGAACCGGAAUUCUCGGUGUAGCAGUGAAAUGCGUAGAUAUCGAGAGGAACACUCGUGGCGAAGGCGGGUUCCUGGACAUUAACUGACGCUGAGGCACGAAGGCCAGGGGAGCGAAAGGGAUUAGAUACCCCUGUAGUC
This 446-nucleotide ribosomal RNA is filed under the name uncultured bacterium. RNAcentral describes it as "partial 16S ribosomal RNA". It matches the Rfam family "Bacterial small subunit ribosomal RNA", at positions 338 to 795 of the family's 1533-position model. The record is from RNAcentral.